RNAcentral lists this long non-coding RNA (424 nucleotides) under Pan troglodytes (chimpanzee). Its description in RNAcentral is "long non-coding RNA NONPTRT013311". Lineage: Eukaryota; Metazoa; Chordata; Mammalia; Primates; Hominidae. The record is from RNAcentral.
GCCACGGCUGACCGACUUCUUCCUGAAAUGAGUAGCAGGCCAUCUCUCUUAAGUAUGUAAAAGAAAAUGUGUUGUUCUCUUUUUCUUAUCUGGGGAGUGUCUGGCCACUCAUGAAGAUGUUUCCAGCUGCUUUCAUCCCUUUGUUCCAAGGCAUGGAUUCUAAUCUCUAUAACCAGUAACAUUCAUUGGCAAAGUAUACACUGUCAGGCCUCUGAGCCCAAGCUAAGCUAUCAUAUCCCCUGUGACCUGCACGUACACAUCCAGAUGGCCGGUUCCUGCCUUAACUGAUGACAUUCCACCACAAAAGAAGUGAAAAUGGCCUGUUCCUGCCUUAACUGAUGAUAUUACCUUGUGAAAUUCCUUCUCCUGGCUCAUCGUGGCUGAAAACCUCCCCUGCUGAGCACCUUGUGAACCCCCCGACCCC